AGUGAACGCUGGCGGUAGGCCUAACACAUGCAAGUCGAACGGCAGCACAGUAAGAGCUUGCUCUUACGGGUGGCGAGUGGCGGACGGGUGAGGAGUACAUCGGAAUCUACUUUUUCGUGGGGGAUAACGUAGGGAAACUUACGCUAAUACCGCAUACGACCUACGGGUGAAAGCAGGGGAUCUUCGGACCUUGCGCGAUUGAAUGAGCCGAUGUCGGAUUAGCUAGUUGGCGGGGUAAAGGCCCACCAAGGCGACGAUCCGUAGCUGGUCUGAGAGGAUGAUCAGCCACACUGGAACUGAGACACGGUCCAGACUCCUACGGGAGGCAGCAGUGGGGAAUAUUGGACAAUGGGCGCAAGCCUGAUCCAGCCUUACCGCGUGGGUGAAGAAGGCCUUCGGGUUGUAAAGCCCUUUUGUUGGGAAAGAAAAGCAGCAGGUUAAUACCCCGCUGUUCUGACGGUACCCAAAGAAUAAGCACCGGCUAACUUCGUG
RNAcentral lists this ribosomal RNA (492 nucleotides) under uncultured bacterium. Its description in RNAcentral is "partial 16S ribosomal RNA". It matches the Rfam family "Bacterial small subunit ribosomal RNA", at positions 29 to 507 of the family's 1533-position model. The record is from RNAcentral.